GGUGGAUGUUGGUACACAGAUUGCACUUUUGAUUGUAACAAAGAAACAUAUUUAUCAAGCAUUGACAUUAAAGCCUCAAAUUCAGUCACUUGCCGCUCUAUUGUAUCAAUUUGCUGAACACACUCAUCAAAACUAGCACUUUUUGACUUCAAAUGCUCCACAAAAACCCUCAAUCCAGAAGCCACAUCCCCAAAACCUUUAUACUCUUCGGCCACUUUCAGAUUCAUUUUCUCUACGAGUUCCAUCAGAUUAUUUGUCCCCUG
This 263-nucleotide unclassified non-coding RNA is filed under the name Hevea brasiliensis (rubber tree). The record is from RNAcentral. Lineage: Eukaryota; Viridiplantae; Streptophyta; Magnoliopsida; Malpighiales; Euphorbiaceae.